AUCCAGCUUACGAGUCCCGAAUAGGACGAAACGCGCAUCCUGGAU
Molecule: non-coding RNA, 45 nt
Organism: Schistosoma rodhaini
Lineage: Eukaryota; Metazoa; Platyhelminthes; Trematoda; Strigeidida; Schistosomatidae
Source: Rfam